CCUACGGGAGACAGCAGUGAGGAAUAUUGGUCAAUGGACGCAAGUCUGAACCAGCCAUGCCGCGUGCAGGAAGACGGCUCUAUGAGUUGUAAACUGCUUUUGUACGAGGGUAAACGCAGAUACGCGUAUCUGUCUGAAAGUCUCCUACGAAUAAGGCUCGGCUAACUCCGUGCCAGCAGCCGCGGUAAUACGGGGGAUUCAAGCGUUAUCCGGAUUUAUUGGGUUAAAGGGGUGCGCUGGCGGAAGAUCAAGUCAGCGGUAAAAUUGAGAGGCUAAACCUCUUCGAGCCGUUGAAACUGGUUUUCUUGAGUGAACGAGAGGUAUGCGGAAUGCGUGGUGUAGCGGUGAAAUGCAUAGAUAUCACGAAGAACUCCGGUUGCGAAGGCAGCAUACCGGCGCUCAACUGACGCUGAGGCACGAAAGUGUGGGGAGCGAACAGGAUUAGAUACCCCAGUAGUC
RNAcentral lists this ribosomal RNA (459 nucleotides) under uncultured bacterium. Its description in RNAcentral is "partial 16S ribosomal RNA". It matches the Rfam family "Bacterial small subunit ribosomal RNA", at positions 338 to 795 of the family's 1533-position model. The record is from RNAcentral.